RNAcentral lists this ribosomal RNA (232 nucleotides) under uncultured bacterium. Its description in RNAcentral is "partial 16S ribosomal RNA". It matches the Rfam family "Bacterial small subunit ribosomal RNA", at positions 524 to 755 of the family's 1533-position model. The record is from RNAcentral.
UACGAAGGGGCGUAGCGUUGUUCGGAAUUACUGGGCGUAAAGGGCGUGUAGGCGGACCUGCAAGUCAGGGGUGAAAUCCCGGGGCUCAACCUCGGAAUGGCCUUUGAGACUGCGGGUCUUGAGGACGGGAGAGGGUCGUGGAAUUCCCAGUGUAGAGGUGAAAUUCGUAGAUAUUGGGAAGAACACCGGUGGCGAAGGCGGCGACCUGGACCGUAUCUGACGCUGAGGCGCG